Long non-coding RNA from Rana temporaria (common frog), 749 nucleotides. RefSeq lists it as uncharacterized. The transcript has 2 exons. The record is from RefSeq and is a predicted model, not a curated record. Lineage: Eukaryota; Metazoa; Chordata; Amphibia; Anura; Ranidae.
CUAACCCCUCACAAUACUUACUAUUUUUUUCUUGACAAGUAACUAAUUAAUUUGCUUAAUGGAACUACAUGGCAUGAUCUGUCUGUUUCAUCAUACCCAAAUAUAUCAACAAUGUUUGAAUAUUUCUUUUUUUUCUAUUUUACUCCCUUAUGUGCCUUUCCUUAUAUUGUAAAGCUGGAUGAUUAGAUACACUCCAUCCCUGCGUGUGAACCGCCAGAUCUGGAUUUUCUGGCUGUCUCCGUAGGUGUCCACAAACUAUCAAACAUACUGGGUCAACCUUUCUCCUCCUAUGGCUGAGCCUCUGCCCCUACACGGCUUCAAUACCUUGGAUUAGGGUCCCACACCCAAUUUGGGCAUGGAACACAUUGGUGUCCUAAUUAUUGGCAGGACUAGAGAUUGUUUUCUCCCCAUCUGGGGCGGCAGGUCAGCAUUCGUCUUCUUUAUGAAAGCAAACAAUUUGGGUUUAAAUACCUAAAUAUAUAUUAUUGUAUGUGGUUUUGUCUUACAUGCUAUGUUUUUUUAUCGUUGUUAGAGCUGGCUACCCACUACUGGUCUUAGUCCAACCCCUGAGGAAGCCUGUACUAGGCAAAAUAUAUUGGGUGACACCACCCUAAUUGACCAGCUAUGCACUUCUAUUGGGACCUCCAGCAACCCUAAAAUUCUAUGUUUGAUAUACUACAUAUGUUUUUAAGUUGUGUGUCAUGCGAUGUAUAAUUUCUCAUGAUAUUUUAAUAAAUUAUUAAAAUGUA